UAAGGAAUAUUGGUCAAUGGGCGGAAGCCUGAACCAGCCAUGCCGCGUGCAGGAUGACUGCCCUAUGGGUUGUAAACUGCUUUUGUCCAGGAAUAAACCUAAAUACGUGUAUUUAGCUGAAUGUACUGGAAGAAUAAGGAUCGGCUAACUCCGUGCCAGCAGCCGCGGUAAUACGGAGGAUCCGAGCGUUAUCCGGAUUUAUUGGGUUUAAAGGGUGCGUAGGCGGCCUAUUAAGUCAGGGGUGAAAUACGGUGGCUCAACCAUCGCAGUGCCUUUGAUACUGAUGGGCUUGAAUCCAUUUGAAGUGGGCGGAAUAAGACAAGUAGCGGUGAAAUGCAUAGAUAUGUCUUAGAACUCCGAUUGCGAAGGCAGCUCACUAAGCUGGUAUUGACGCUGAUGCACGAAAGCGUGGGGAUCGAACAGG
RNAcentral lists this ribosomal RNA (424 nucleotides) under uncultured bacterium. RNAcentral's name for it is "bacterial SSU rRNA". It matches the Rfam family "Bacterial small subunit ribosomal RNA", at positions 355 to 776 of the family's 1533-position model. The record is from RNAcentral.